CAACUUUUGAAUGCACACCUUACAUUCUCACUAUCAAAAAAUUUAAGAUAAUACCAUCGACCGUCCCUAGCGCAAAAAGCAAAAGACUUAGUAAUUGGUAUCCAAAGUUUCAAGUUUGAAUACUAGUUGAUUCACAUUUUCGGCUAAAUUUAUUUCUAAAUUUAAUAAACGAAGCGUAUAACAUGCUACCUAUUUCUCUCUCAAAAGAAAAAGAUGAUAACAACGAUCAUUCCUAGCGCAAAUGGCAAAGAAUUUAGUAGUUGAUAUCCGAAGUUCAAAGUUUGAAUUCUAAUUAAUUCACAUUUUCAGCUAAUUCAUUUCCAAAUGAAAUAAACGAAACAGUUAGUAUACUACCUAUCUCAAAAAAUAAAAAAGAAGAAGAUAAUUCUCUUUAAAGUUUAAUA
RNAcentral lists this long non-coding RNA (404 nucleotides) under Ananas comosus (pineapple). Its description in RNAcentral is "long non-coding RNA (ACOM_LNC011325)". Lineage: Eukaryota; Viridiplantae; Streptophyta; Magnoliopsida; Poales; Bromeliaceae. The record is from RNAcentral.